This is a long non-coding RNA of Perca flavescens (yellow perch), 390 nucleotides long. RefSeq lists it as uncharacterized. Lineage: Eukaryota; Metazoa; Chordata; Actinopteri; Perciformes; Percidae. The record is from RefSeq and is a predicted model, not a curated record. The transcript is spliced from 2 exons.
CCCUGUGUUUCCUGCCUGUGAGUCUGUUUUCUGGGAUUUCCUGAACGCAACCUUUCUGGUUGCCAGGAUACGAAGCAAGGCUGGAGGAUCUGCAACCACUCACACCUGUGUCUCAUCUGUAAUCUGCACACCUGGCCCUGAUCAUCACCUCUCCACCAUUUAAGCCAUGAACUGACAUCCAUUCUCUGCUGGAUUGUUAGCCUCACCAGUACGUUUGCUUUUGCGACCUGGGAAAUCCUCUCCACCUCUGCUGGGCUGUCUACUUCACCAUCAUUAUUGGACCUGCAUGUACCUGUCAGCCGACCCACUUCCACCACUGCCUGGCUUGCUGGACUCCUCUGCUUCCACGUACAAAGCCUAAUAAAGACUCACCUUUUUGCUCAUUCUGUU